This 446-nucleotide ribosomal RNA is filed under the name uncultured bacterium. RNAcentral describes it as "partial 16S ribosomal RNA". It matches the Rfam family "Bacterial small subunit ribosomal RNA", at positions 338 to 795 of the family's 1533-position model. The record is from RNAcentral.
CCUACGGGGGGCAGGAGUCGAGAAUCAUUCACAAUGGGGGAAACCCUGAUGGUGCGACGCCGCGUGGGGGAAUGAAGGUCUUCGGAUUGUAAACCCCUGUCAUGUGGGAGCAAAUUAAAAAGAUAGUACCACAAGAGGAAGAGACGGCUAACUCUGUGCCAGCAGCCGCGGGAAUACAGAGGUCUCAAGCGUUGUUCGGAAUCACUGGGCGUAAAGCGUGCGUAGGCUGUUUCGUAAGUCGUGUGUGAAAGGCGCGGGCUCAACCCGCGGACGGCACAUGAUACUGCGGGACUAGAGUAAUGGAGGGGGAACCGGAAUUCUCGGUGUAGCAGUGAAAUGCGUAGAUAUCGAGAGGAACACUCGUGGCGAAGGCGGGUUCCUGGACAUUAACUGACGCUGAGGCACGAAGGCCAGGGGAGCGAAAGGGAUUAGAUACCCUUGUAGUC